CCAUGGCUUUGCAGAGCGUUCUGGAAGCACUGUGGCUGGAGCUCCUCCUCAGCUCUCUCUGGAAUGUUGCAGAGAGCAAGGACCGAGUAUUUCAGCCUUCCACUGUGGUCUCUUCAGAGGGUGCUCUGGCAGAAAUCUCCUGUAAUCACUCUAUAUCCAGUGCUUACAACUUCUUCUGGUACCUUCACUUCCCAGGAUGUGCACCAAGACUCCUUGUUCAGGGCUCAAGGCCUUCUCAGCAGGGACGGUACAACAUGACAUAUGAGCGGUUCUCUUCAUCACUGCUUAUCCUCCAGGUGCAGAUGGCAGAUGCAGCCAUUUACUACUGUGCUCUGGAGGACACAGAGGCAGGGAAUCCAUGA
This is a non-coding RNA of Lipotes vexillifer (Yangtze River dolphin), 362 nucleotides long. The record is from the annotation of a RefSeq genome assembly. Lineage: Eukaryota; Metazoa; Chordata; Mammalia; Artiodactyla; Lipotidae.